CAGUAGCCACGGGAAUACGGAGGGGGCUAGCGUUGUUCGGAAUUACUGGGCGUAAAGCGCACGUAGGCGGCUUGGUAAGUUAGAGGUGAAAGCCCAGGGCUCAACCUGGGGGCUGCGUUUGAUACUUGGUUGCUAGAGUGAGGAAGAGGGUCGUGGAAUUCCCAGCGUAGAGGUGAAAUUCGUAGAUAUUGGGAAGAACACCGGUGGCGAAGGCGGCGACCUGGUCCUUGACUGACGCUGAGGCGCGAAAGCGUGGGGAGCAAACAGGAUUAGAGACCCCAGUAGUCCCUGUCUCUUAUAC
Molecule: ribosomal RNA, 301 nt
Filed under: uncultured bacterium
Lineage: Bacteria
Description: partial 16S ribosomal RNA
Rfam family: Bacterial small subunit ribosomal RNA
Source: RNAcentral